This 472-nucleotide ribosomal RNA is filed under the name uncultured bacterium. RNAcentral's name for it is "bacterial SSU rRNA". It matches the Rfam family "Bacterial small subunit ribosomal RNA", at positions 355 to 825 of the family's 1533-position model. The record is from RNAcentral.
UGGGGAAUAUUGGACAAUGGGCGAAAGCCUGAUCCAGCCAUGCCGCGUGUGUGAAGAAGGUCUUCGGAUUGUAAAGCACUUUAAGUUGGGAGGAAGGGUUGUAGAUUAAUACUCUGCAAUUUUGACGUUACCGACAGAAUAAGCACCGGCUAACUCUGUGCCAGCAGCCGCGGUAAUACAGAGGGUGCAAGCGUUAAUCGGAAUUACUGGGCGUAAAGCGCGCGUAGGUGGUUUGUUAAGCUGGAUGUGAAAUCCCCGGGCUCAACCUGGGAACUGCAUUCAAAACUGACUGACUAGAGUAUGGUAGAGGGUGGUGGAAUUUCCUGUGUAGCGGUGAAAUGCGUAGAUAUAGGAAGGAACACCAGUGGCGAAGGCGACCACCUGGACUAAUACUGACACUGAGGUGCGAAAGCGUGGGGAGCAAACAGGAUUAGAUACCCGUGUAGUCCCUGAGCGGGCUGGCAAGGCGCAU